RNAcentral lists this ribosomal RNA (494 nucleotides) under uncultured bacterium. RNAcentral describes it as "bacterial SSU rRNA". It matches the Rfam family "Bacterial small subunit ribosomal RNA", at positions 58 to 535 of the family's 1533-position model. The record is from RNAcentral.
CAAGUCGAGCGAGAAGGAAGCAAUUCCUGUAAAGCGGCGCACGGGUGAGUAACACGUAGGUAAUCUACCUCGAAGUGGUGGAUAACCUUCCGAAAGGAGGGCUAAUACAGCAUGAGACCACGGUUUCGAAAGAGAUUGAGGUCAAAGCGGGCCACUAUACAUAAGCUCGCGCUUCGAGAUGAGCCUGCGGCCCAUCAUGGUUUGGUAGGGUAACGGCCUACCAAGGCAAAGACGGGUAGCUGGUCUGAGAGGAUGAUCAGCCACACUGGAACUGAGACACGGUCCAGACUCCUACGGGAGGCAGCAGUGGGGAAUCUUGCGCAAUGGGCGAAAGCCUGACGCAGCGACGCCGCGUGAGCGAUGAAGGCCUUCGGGUUGUAAAGCUCUGUGGAGGGGGACGAAUAAGGGCACGCUAAUACCGUGUUUGAUGACGGUACCCCUUUAGCAAGCACCGGCUAACUCUGUGCCAGCAGCCGCGGUAAGACAGAGGGUGC